UAACAUCCCGAAUUAUAGGCACCAAUAAAAGGUUUGGAUAUGUGGUGAGGAAUAGUAGUUAAGUUAAACCGUAAGGUAUAAAUUUGAUACGAAAUGCCGAUUAGUCAAUUUUCGGCAAUUUCUUUUGUCCGUGUAAAAUCAUAAAUCGAAGCUAAGGGGUAAUAAUUUUAUAAAUUACAAAUUAUGGCCUAGAAUAAUUGUUGAUAAUGUGAGGAAUUGUUUUGGGCCAUUUGAAGGUAAUUAAAAAAAUUUCUAUCGCCGAUAAUUUCAGUUUUUAACGAAAACGAUCGGCGAAACUUUUGAAGAUAUAGACAGGAAUAAUUUUGCCUUAAACUAGAAUUUAAAUGCUAAAUGAUGAUAUAAAGAGUUCCUAAAUGUGAUAUCAUAUGAUAGGGCAAUAAAAUGUUACAAGAUAAUUAAUUUAUUUAAAAACUAACUAAAUAAUUAAAUAAUGAUUAGAAUUCUCUAGAGAAUUCUUUUGUCUAUCAUCAACUCCAAACCCCCCCUCAUUUCAGCCACAAGCACGUCCUCCCCCUCUCCAUGGAAGACCAAAAGCUUAAGCUUUUUAAUUUCCAAAUAUUUGUCAUUUAAUCGGUAAAUCGAUCGGGUAAUCUUGUAUCCGCCAGCAAAUCGAGCGAAGGAGCAUAUAGUGCGUUUUGAUCACAAAGGAGUGGAUUUAGAGGGUAGAGAAGUAUCAAGGUGAAAUAGGCUUAUGUUCAUAAGCCUGCGAGGUUAGAGUCGAUAUUAUGUCAGUGGUGUUGCGCAGCUUUGCAUCUUUGGCGAGUCACUGGUGGUCAACUUGGUUUAGUAGUCGUGGCAUGUUAUGUAAUAGUUUAAUCUUUAACCUUCCGCUGGAUAAAUGUUAAGUUUUUAAAUGUAAUAGAUUUUAAUUAUGCUUUUAAGCUAAAAAGAAAAAGGAAAAAUUUCAGUACGGGUUUUCGAUACUGAAACGUGACAUCACUUAUUCGGUGGGUUACCUACCGGGUAAGGGGUGUUACAAGUUUUGGUAUCAGAGCCUAGGUUUAGGCGGUUCUGGAAAGAAGUGAUUCAGUAAAGUGUGUAGAAACAUGCCACAUAGGUUUAAUUGUCUGUUAGUACCAGUGACUCGAUGCAGCUGCUUAUGUCUAAAGUGGAAAGAAGUUAACAAGGUACGGGACAUAGUUUCCCGUGUGACCGAGAAAGAUGUUAUAUGGGACUGGCCACCCCAUAUAGCUCUAAUCUCGGUAGCGUCGGUAUGUGUAAAAGAUUUAAAAAAAAAAAUUCAGGGAGGAUGGGUCUGAAAAUGUUGAUGAAAAGUAUGUCCUAAUGAAAGAUACUAAUAAAUAUAUGCAGAUUAUGAAAGGGUAUAAGUAAAAGAGAAGAAAAUGAGUUAAAGGAAUGAUAUGGAAAGAAAGUAAGUUAUACACUAAGUGACCAUCAUGAUAUAAAAGUGUAACACGAAAAUUCACAAAGGUAUGUGGAUUGUCUGAUAUAAGAUGGAUUAAGAGUCAUAAAGUAAUAUCCUAUAAUGAUAAACAAAAGUAUAGAAAUAUGUGAAAGGAAAUGUGUUUGGCAAAAUGAUAAAUAUUGAUAUGAAAACAUAUGAAACUAUAAGGCAUUAUAUGAAUAAAACCAUAAAUGUGCGAAUGAGAAAAUGCGACGAAUAAGAAAUAAAUGAUAUGAUCUGAACAUGUGUGCCCCUAUAUGGAUUACAUGUGUACUUCGAAUCGGGCAAUAUGAGAUAUGACGUGAUGUGAUGGAAAUAUGAACUGAAUAAUCGUGCAAGACAAUAAAUUAUAUGAUUGGAAAUGUGAACUCCGUGAGAAUUAUGUGUGCGCUCGAAUACGAGCUAUAUAAAUGUUAGAACCGAAUGAUGAUUCAGAAAUGAAAUGGAAAAUGGGAAUGUAUGCUCUAAGCGAGCUGUAUAGUAUAUGAUAAGAUAUGUCUAAAAAUAUGAGUUUGAAAUUGAGCUAUAUGAUAUAAAAUGGUAUUCUGGUUGAAAGUGUUGUCUGUGAUCUGUAAAUGUGUUAGUUAUGGAUAAGAAUGAGUUUUGAAAAUAAAUAUGGUUGUUGAUGAAUACUGACUUGAUAUUUGAAUUAUGUUGUGAUUUGGUGGUUUGAUUUGAUAAUCUGUGAUUAACAUUGUAUCUUGUUGGUUUUGGGGAAGCACUGGUUAUAGAGAAAACGCUGCCCAAUUUUUGCUAGAAAUUGAUCAGAUAAAUUAAUACGAAGUUGUUGUAAAUAAACUGAUAAGUGAUAAUACAUGAAGAGAAUGAUGUUACAUGAUGACUUAAGAAAGGAAAAAGGGAAAAGAUAAGAAGUGUUGUGAAUGAUAAUAAAGGAAAACGUAAUGAAAUGAUGAUAUGUGGAAAGUGAAAUGCACCCUUCGUCGGCUAUAAGUGCCCGAAUAGGGACUAUGCAAUUGGGACUAUACAAUAUAUGAUGAGUAUGUGAAUUAUACAUAUGCGUGAUGAAUAUGAUAUGUGCGCCUCAUGUGGACAAAGAAAAGAUGCAAAUAACAUGGAAAUUACUAUGUAAAGAAAUGAUAAUGUGACAAAUGUGCUUGAAAUAUAUUAGAGAUAAUGAUAAUAUUAUUAUGUGAUCGCAAAAUGUGGCUAUGUGUUAAGAUGUGAUUAUGUGAUUUUGUAUGUCAUUCUGUGUUUGGUUAUGGAAGUGAGGAUACGCUAUGUAGAUGAGGAUAUAGGAUGUCGUGGAAUGGCAUACGUAUAUGCGACGCUUAUAGGAAUGAUGUAAACCCGAGGGAAUUUCGAGGACGAAAUUCCUUUUAGGGGGGAUGAGUUGUAACAUCCCGAAUUAUAGGCACCAAUAAAAGGUUUGGAUAUGUGGUGAGGAAUAGUAGUUAAGUUAAACCGUAAGGUAUAAAUUUGAUACGAAAUGCCGAUUAGUCAAUUUUCGGCAAUUUCUUUUGUCCGUGUAAAAUCAUAAAUCGAAGCUAAGGGGUAAUAAUUUUAUAAAUUACAAAUUAUGGCCUAGAAUAAUUGUUGAUAAUGUGAGGAAUUGUUUUGGGCCAUUUGAAGGUAAUUAAAAAAAUUUCUAUCGCCGAUAAUUUCAGUUUUUAACGAAAACGAUCGGCGAAACUUUUGAAGAUAUAGACAGGAAUAAUUUUGCCUUAAACUAGAAUUUAAAUGCUAAAUGAUGAUAUAAAGAGUUCCUAAAUGUGAUAUCAUAUGAUAGGGCAAUAAAAUGUUACAAGAUAAUUAAUUUAUUUAAAAACUAACUAAAUAAUUAAAUAAUGAUUAGAAUUCUCUAGAGAAUUCUUUUGUCUAUCAUCAACUCCAAACCCCCCCUCAUUUCAGCCACAAGCACGUCCUCCCCCUCUCCAUGGAAGACCAAAAGCUUAAGCUUUUUAAUUUCCAAAUAUUUGUCAUUUAAUCGGUAAAUCGAUCGGGUAAUCUUGUAUCCGCCAGCAAAUCGAGCGAAGGAGCAUAUAGUGCGUUUUGAUCACAAAGGAGUGGAUUUAGAGGGUAGAGAAGUAUCAAGGUGAAAUAGGCUUAUGUUCAUAAGCCUGCGAGGUAGCGUAUCCUCUCUAUGGUUUUCGAUUCUUUAGGUUGAGAUGAUGUGUGCUAUAAUGUGAUUAUAUGUGAGAUGUUUAAAUAAUGUGCUUAAAUAUGCUUAUAAUUUAAUAUGUGGAUUAUUAUGAUUCUUAUUAAUUUUAAUAUGAAUGAUCUGUGGAAAAAAAAUGGUACGAAUAUGAAUAAAGACAAUGGAUAUGAUAUGCAAUGAAGUGUAAUAAAUUAUGAAGAUCUGAAUAAUGUGAAAUAUGUCUGAAUAGAUUAUGAAAAAAAAUAUCUGAAUAUAUAUGAAAAAGAGUGUCUGUGAAUUCGAUAAGAAUGAUUAUCUGAAGUGAUAUUUGGAAAUGGAAUAAAUGUGAAAAAGAGAUUUGAAAGAAGAAUAUGAAAUAAAACGUCCUGUUUGCUUGGUCAUAUGUGUUGGGUACAAUUGGCAUGCCAUAGGACAGCAGCGCUGCAUUAUCUGUGAUCACUCGUCUUCUGGAUAACCGAAGCGAGGAUCGUCUGUUAUCUGAUGGGCCCCUAUCUGAUCUGUCUGAUCUGCACC
Salvia splendens (bonfire salvia) is the source of this 4055-nucleotide long non-coding RNA. RefSeq lists it as uncharacterized. The record is from RefSeq and is a predicted model, not a curated record. The transcript has 4 exons. NCBI's taxonomy places the organism in Eukaryota, Viridiplantae, Streptophyta, Magnoliopsida, Lamiales, Lamiaceae.